Molecule: non-coding RNA, 74 nt
Organism: Podarcis lilfordi (Lilford's wall lizard)
Lineage: Eukaryota; Metazoa; Chordata; Lepidosauria; Squamata; Lacertidae
Source: the annotation of a GenBank genome assembly
GCCAGGGGUAGCUCAACUGGUGGAGCAGGAAACUCUUAAUCUUAGGGUUGUGGGUUUGAAUCCCACGUUGGGCG